RNAcentral lists this ribosomal RNA (501 nucleotides) under uncultured bacterium. RNAcentral describes it as "partial 16S ribosomal RNA". It matches the Rfam family "Bacterial small subunit ribosomal RNA", at positions 30 to 523 of the family's 1533-position model. The record is from RNAcentral.
AUUGAACGCUGGCGGCAGGCUUAACACAUGCAAGUCGAGCGGGGGAAGGUAGCUUGCUACCGGACCUAGCGGCGGACGGGUGAGUAAUGCUUAGGAAUCUGCCUAUUAGUGGGGGACAACAUCUCGAAAGGGAUGCUAAUACCGCAUACGUCCUACGGGAGAAAGCAGGGGAUCUUCGGACCUUGCGCUAAUAGAUGAGCCUAAGUCGGAUUAGCUAAUUGGUGGGGUAAAGGCCUACCGAGGCGACGAUCUGUAGCGGGUCUGAGAGGAUGAUCCGCCACACUGGGACUGAGACACGGCCCAGACUCCUACGGGAGGCAGCAGUGGGGAAUAUUGGACAAUGGGGGGAACCCUGAUCCAGCCAUGCCGCGUGUGUGAAGAAGGCCUUAUGGUUGUAAAGCACUUUAAGCGAGGAGGAGGCUACUUUAGUUAAUACCUAGAGAUAGUGGACGUUACUCGCAGAAUAAGCACCGGCUAACUCUGUGCCAGCCGCCGCAGUAA